GACUGCUUGGCGCAAUGGUAGCGCGCGGUCCUCCUAUUAUCAUCCAUUGGUUAUGGGAGUGAAAGACUGAGGUUGCGGGUUCGAGUCCCGUGGUGGUCG
This is a non-coding RNA of Hypoxylon sp. FL1150, 99 nucleotides long. NCBI's taxonomy places the organism in Eukaryota, Fungi, Ascomycota, Sordariomycetes, Xylariales, Hypoxylaceae. The record is from the annotation of a GenBank genome assembly.